UUGAGGGGCCCGCACAAGCGGUGGAGUAUGUGGUUUAAUUCGAUGCAACGCGAAGAACCUUACCUGGUCUUGACAUCCCGGAGACCCUUGGAAACUAGGGGGUGCUUCCAUCUGGAAGAAUCUGGAGACAGGUGCUGCAUGGCUGUCGUCAGCUCGUGUCGUGAGAUGUUGGGUUAAGUCCCGCAACGAGCGCAACCCUUGCCUUUAGUUGCCAGCAGUUCGGCUGGGCACUCUAAAGGGACUGCCGGUGUUAAACCGGAGGAAGGUGGGGAUGACGUCAAGUCCUCAUGGCCUUUAUGACCAGGGCUACACACGUACUACAAUGGCCGAUACAAAGGGCAGCGACACUGCGAGGUGAAGCCAAUCCCGUAAAAUCGGUCUCAGUCCGGAUUGGAGUCUGCAACUCGACUCCAUGAAGUUGGAAUCGCUAGUAAUCGUGGAUCAGCAUGCCACGGUGAAUACGUUCCCGGGCCUU
This 475-nucleotide ribosomal RNA is filed under the name uncultured Desulfobulbus sp. Its description in RNAcentral is "bacterial SSU rRNA". It matches the Rfam family "Bacterial small subunit ribosomal RNA", at positions 915 to 1382 of the family's 1533-position model. Lineage: Bacteria; Pseudomonadati; Thermodesulfobacteriota; Desulfobulbia; Desulfobulbales; Desulfobulbaceae. The record is from RNAcentral.